This is a long non-coding RNA of Corythoichthys intestinalis (scribbled pipefish), 1051 nucleotides long. RefSeq lists it as uncharacterized. NCBI's taxonomy places the organism in Eukaryota, Metazoa, Chordata, Actinopteri, Syngnathiformes, Syngnathidae. The record is from RefSeq and is a predicted model, not a curated record. The transcript is spliced from 3 exons.
UCUGAACACGGAAAUAUAGCACCACGCUAUCCUCGCCAUAUAUUGCAAACAUUUUCUGGGUUUUACUCGCGGGAUUCGUCAUGCCAUCUCGAUGUGUAGCGAUAUGAAUUACUCACAGGAAGACUCGAGACUCUAGGAGUGGUCCAAAAAAAAACUUCUGCAAAGCCACGACAGCUUUGAAAACCGACAACAAUGCAACCUUGGUUUUCCAAAGACGAAGCCAAACAUAAAAAAUUAAGUGGCGGAAACCCUCAACACGAUGAAAAAAGCGUUGCAAGUCAGUUGCCACCCAGUUUCCCAAAAUCAAGAGAGAGUGGGUCGAGUCAUAUGAUGACCGAAGUGAUCCAGUGUCCAGCGAUGACGACUGAAGAGAUCCUAUGAGGCCUGCCAGAUGCUGAAUUUCUUCCGUCUGCGACAUCAGAUGACGAUGAUUUAGGAGAAAUAAAUGUAGCAAAUUUUGAUAUGAAAUCAUAAACUAGUCAUAUAUACAGUACACAUUUUUUAAAAGAAAAAUCAAGUUACCUUCAUAUUUUAAUGAUAAUGCAUUAUCUUUGUAUAGAGAACACUUCAUGCUACAGAAAAGAAAUACAUAUUUCCCACUGCCAUUAUCAUUUUUCAAUGUUGCGCUAGUCCGUUGCUAUCCUAACUUUGUGUUGCUUACUAAAAUUAUGCUCUUUGAUGUGUGCCGUUGUGUGCUUGGUAUAAAAUGUUGUGUCACAAUCUGACAACGAAAGCUAAUGCUGAUUCAACAUAAACCUGGUAUCAUUUAUUAUUGCGGCCUAUUGAAUAUUUUUUCAGUAUGUAAUAUAAUUACAAUAUAUUAUAUACCAAUAGAAUACAUUAAACAGUCAACAAAAUGUGUCAAUGUUGUUAACAAUUUAUGGUUUUAUUUUUUUAAUGAAAUUCAUGCCCCUGUCAGUGCUUCAGCCUCCGCAAGUUUGGCUCUCACGUCUGGGAUCUCCUGAUGACACAGGCAUACUCUUGGAAGGGUAAUUACUUGACGGUUUACAGCAACACCUGGAAAAUAAAAUGGUUUUGUCAUUUAUUUUGA